Molecule: ribosomal RNA, 253 nt
Filed under: uncultured bacterium
Lineage: Bacteria
Description: partial 16S ribosomal RNA
Rfam family: Bacterial small subunit ribosomal RNA
Source: RNAcentral
UACAGAGGUGGCAAGCGUUGUUCGGAAUUACUGGGCGUAAAGGGCGCGUAGGCGGUCCCGUCAGUCCCUUGUGAAAUCCCCCGGCUCAACUGGGGAACUGCAAGGGAUACAGCGGGGCUUGAGUUCGGGAGAGGGAAGCGGAAUUCCGGGUGUAGCGGUGAAAUGCGUAGAUAUCCGGAGGAACACCGGUGGCGAAGGCGGCAUCCUGGACCAACACUGACACUGAGGAGCGAAAGCCAGGGGAGCAAACGGG